Oncorhynchus tshawytscha (Chinook salmon) is the source of this 741-nucleotide long non-coding RNA. NCBI's taxonomy places the organism in Eukaryota, Metazoa, Chordata, Actinopteri, Salmoniformes, Salmonidae. The record is from Ensembl.
UCCUCGCAAAAAAAACAAUGAUGUUUGACUGUGUUGCAAACAUCCAGAGGAAUGCACUGAAACCCACCAUGACUAUAUAAACGAUUGUUUACAGGGGCGAAUCACGCCGAAUGCUCCGUAAAAAAUUGAUAGAGAUGGAAUUCACGGCACAAAUAGUUUACAAAAUGUUUAGAUUUAGGCUAUAAAAAUGGAUUUUAUCAAAGAAAACGGCACUUCAUUUGUUCAAUGAGAUACUCUGGAAGAGAAAUAAGAGCAAGAUAUCAGAAUGGUGUAAGACACUUGCAUUUUCAAGAAUGUUUAAAGACCAGUAGAUGUCAUGCUUGAUCCCGGUCUUGGCUGGAGAGUGUUUCUGAUUAAGUCCACUAGAUGGAAGUGAUGAUCCAUACUCGGGCUCCUGCUGAUGCUUUUUUCUUCUGUAAAGCGAUCCAAAAAGUUACAGGCCGGUGGUGGCUGGUCCCCUGCAAGAAGGUGAGGUGCCUGAGGUCCCUCCGCCCCCUCUGGACAUCGAGGGGUCCCCGGCAUACACGGUUCGGGGCAUUCUGGAUUCGAGACGCCGGGUGGGGGGCCUACAGUACCUCGUGGACUGUGAGGGGUACGGUCCGGAGGAGAGAUGCUGGGUGCCGGUGGGGGACAUUUUGGACCCUUCUCUCCUGAGAGAUUUCCACCGCCUCCACCCGGAUCGCCCGGCACCUCGUCCUCCAGGUCGUCCUCGAGGCCGGGGUCGGAGAAUAAAUUGACAAU